GACGAACGCUGGCGGCGUGCCUAAUACAUGCAAGUAGAACGCUGAAGGAGGAGCUUGCUUCUCUGGAUGAGUUGCGAACGGGUGAGUAACGCGUAGGUAACCUGCCUGGUAGCGGGGGAUAACUAUUGGAAACGAUAGCUAAUACCGCAUAAGAGUAGAUGUUGCAUGACAUUUGCUUAAAAGGUGCAAUUGCAUCACUACCAGAUGGCCCUGCGUUGUAUUAGCUAGUUGGUGGGGUAACGGCUUACCAAGGCGACGAUACAUAGCCGACCUGAGAGGGUGAUCGGCCACACUGGGACUGAGACACGGCCCAGACUCCUACGGGAGGCAGCAGUAGGGAAUCUUCGGCAAUGGACGGAAGUCUGACCGAGCAACGCCGCGUGAGUGAAGAAGGUUUUCGGAUCGUAAAGCUCUGUUGUAAGAGAAGAACGAGUGUGAGAGUGGAAAGUUCACACUGUGACGGUAUCUUACCAGAAAGGGACGGCUAACUACGUG
This 495-nucleotide ribosomal RNA is filed under the name uncultured bacterium. RNAcentral describes it as "partial 16S ribosomal RNA". It matches the Rfam family "Bacterial small subunit ribosomal RNA", at positions 28 to 507 of the family's 1533-position model. The record is from RNAcentral.